UGGCGGACGGGUGAGUAACGCGUGGGUAACCUGCCGUAUACAGGGGGAUAACAGUUGGAAACAACUGCUAAUACCGCAUAAGCGCACACUGUCGCAUGACAGAGUGUGAAAAUUUCCGGAGGUAUACGAUGGACCCGCGUCUGAUUAGCCAGUUGGCAGGGUAACGGCCUACCAAAGCAACGAUCAGUAGCCGGCCUGAGAGGGUGGACGGCCACAUUGGGACUGAGACACGGCCCAAACUCCUACGGGAGGCAGCAG
RNAcentral lists this ribosomal RNA (258 nucleotides) under uncultured bacterium. Its description in RNAcentral is "partial 16S ribosomal RNA". It matches the Rfam family "Bacterial small subunit ribosomal RNA", at positions 96 to 354 of the family's 1533-position model. The record is from RNAcentral.